AUGCUCAUUUGUAAUUUUGGCCAUGAUUGUUGUGUGCAUCCUAUGAGGUUGAUGUCUACAUGUGUUUUGAUCUACGCCAUGCCAUCUUUCCAGGGGUGUUUGCCAUGUAUUUUUGUGAUCAAUGUGGUGACCAGCACAAGCAUGCAAACUAGGCUUCCUGAUAUUGCUGAUUUUAGUCCCUGUUCUGCUGUUAUUUUGAUGCCAUGUAAACUUGAGGCUACAGAGAGAUCCAUGCAUAUUUUGAGUUACUUCAGUAAGGGUGUUUUGAACAUGUGGUUUUUGUCUAUCCAUUCAUGCCCUUUUUUGUAA
This 309-nucleotide ribosomal RNA is filed under the name Triticum aestivum (bread wheat). Its description in RNAcentral is "partial small subunit ribosomal RNA". Lineage: Eukaryota; Viridiplantae; Streptophyta; Magnoliopsida; Poales; Poaceae. The record is from RNAcentral.